RNAcentral lists this transfer RNA (73 nucleotides) under Candidatus Similichlamydia laticola. It matches the Rfam family "tRNA". Rfam says of the family: Transfer RNA (tRNA) molecules are approximately 80 nucleotides in length. Their secondary structure includes four short double-helical elements and three loops (D, anti-codon, and T loops). Further hydrogen bonds mediate the characteristic L-shaped molecular structure. tRNAs have two regions of fundamental functional importance: the anti-codon, which is responsible for specific mRNA codon recognition, and the 3' end, to which the tRNAs corresponding amino acid is attached (by aminoacyl-tRNA synthetases). tRNAs cope with the degeneracy of the genetic code in two manners: having more than one tRNA (with a specific anti-codon) for a particular amino acid; and 'wobble' base-pairing, i.e. permitting non-standard base-pairing at the 3rd anti-codon position. Lineage: Bacteria; Pseudomonadati; Chlamydiota; Chlamydiia; Parachlamydiales; Candidatus Parilichlamydiaceae. The record is from Rfam by way of RNAcentral.
GGAUCCUUAGCUCAGUUGGUAGAGCAUCUCACUUUUAAUGAGAGGGUCGAUGGUUCGAGCCCAUCAGGAUCCA